ACCCACGUGGCCUAAUGGAUAAGGCGUCUAACUUCUAUGCAGAAGAUUGUCGGUUCGACCCCGAACGUUGGUG
This is a non-coding RNA of Angiostrongylus cantonensis (rat lungworm), 73 nucleotides long. The record is from Rfam. NCBI's taxonomy places the organism in Eukaryota, Metazoa, Nematoda, Chromadorea, Rhabditida, Metastrongylidae.